GACGAACGCUGGCGGCGUGCCUAAUACAUGCAAGUUGAGCGCUGAAGGUUGGUACUUGUACCGACUGGAUGAGCAGCGAACGGGUGAGUAACGCGUGGGGAAUCUGCCUUUGAGCGGGGGACAACAUUUGGAAACGAAUGCUAAUACCGCAUAAAAACUUUAAACACAAGUUUUAAGUUUGAAAGAUGCAAUUGCAUCACUCAAAGAUGAUCCCGCGUUGUAUUAGCUAGUUGGUGAGGUAAAGGCUCACCAAGGCGAUGAUACAUAGCCGACCUGAGAGGGUGAUCGGCCACAUUGGGACUGAGACACGGCCCAAACUCCUACGGGAGGCAGCAGUAGGGAAUCUUCGGCAAUGGACGAAAGUCUGACCAAGCAACGCCGCGUGAGUGAAGAAGGUUUUCGGAUCGUAAAACUCUGUUGGUAGAGAAGAACGUUGGUGAGAGUGGAAAGCCCAUCAAGUGACGGUAACUACCCAGAAAGGGACGGCUAACUACGUG
RNAcentral lists this ribosomal RNA (497 nucleotides) under uncultured bacterium. RNAcentral describes it as "partial 16S ribosomal RNA". It matches the Rfam family "Bacterial small subunit ribosomal RNA", at positions 28 to 507 of the family's 1533-position model. The record is from RNAcentral.